GGCCAGUGAUGAAAAUGAUUCUGCCAUAUGAGUAAACCUGAACACAACCUUAACCGUUCCACUCUUUCUGAGGCC
This 75-nucleotide small nucleolar RNA is filed under the name Leptobrachium leishanense (Leishan spiny toad). RNAcentral describes it as "Small nucleolar RNA SNORD47 (ENSLLEG00000030717.1)". It matches the Rfam family "Small nucleolar RNA SNORD47". Rfam says of the family: U47 belongs to the C/D class of snoRNA which contain the C (UGAUGA) and D (CUGA) box motifs. Most of the members of the box C/D family function in directing site-specific 2'-O-methylation of substrate RNAs. The record is from Rfam by way of RNAcentral. Lineage: Eukaryota; Metazoa; Chordata; Amphibia; Anura; Megophryidae.